UUUUUUACUCAUUUUCUUUUCUUUUCUUCCCCAAAGUCUCUCUCUCUUCUCUCUCGAGAACUCCGGCGAAAGAAAUGGCGAUUCAUAUGUAAUCGGGAAAAGAAGAAAGAGAGAAGAAUCGAGUUAUCAAUUGGAUUAAGCAGUCUGCCCAAGUGAUCUUCUUCAUUCUUAAGGGUUUCGUUCCUAUCCUUCUAGGGUUUGUUCUCUCUCUCUCUCAAUCCAAUUGCAUCGCUCUGUUAUUCUUUUUCUUAACGCGUCGCGUCUCUGAUUUUUUUGUUUUGUUUCUUCGUCGUCUCUUGUUGCAGGUUUUUUAAAGCAAGUUUAAUCUGAUUGUCGCUCACACGGCCUCUAGGUGCUUUUUGGAAGCAUGGCUUUCGUCUCUGAAAUCUCAACUUCUUCUAGGAUUGAUUGAUUGCGGAGGAUAACUGUAGUAUUGAUCGAUCGGCGAUUGAGGAGGAUACUAAGAUCUCUCCCUGAUGGUUUGAUUGAGGAGGAGGGCACUAAGAUCUUCUUGGGUUUUUAUUCAUUCUUGUCACUCUCUGUUUGAUUUUAACGACUUCUUUUCUUUUUUGGGGGGGUCUCACUCUCUCUCUCUUUGUUGCAGGUCUUCUUUUGGAAUUACUCCCGAACAGCAAGCUUUGUCAAAGGAUGGAUCACAACUAGCAGCAAUAUGAAGGGACAAGUAAGUUUGCAGCCAUGAGCUUAGACUUGCUUAUUAUAUAUAUGUCUUGUUAUUUUGUUUCUUAUCUCUUGUCUCUAGCUAACUUUUGGUAUGCAUGUUUUCUUUUCUUUUUUGUUGCAUCAGCCUCAAGGAUUUGUCUCUUGACUAGCAGAUAAAGGCAUCAAUGGAGAUGAUGACUUGCCAAAGCGCAAGACCUUUUGUGGUUUCUGGGACUAAGAUCUCUCGGUGAUGGUUGAGAAAGAGUGGAGUCUUCUCUUUGUUUGUUUUCCUAAUCUCUCCCAUAUUUACUCUCUUUUUUGAUAUAGUGAAAUAACUGUUGAUAUGGCUUUUUUAUUUUCCUCUUAGGAGUUGAAAAACCGACGACCAUCAUUGUGGCUUAUGUAAGUUAACUGAUUAACUAUGUUCAUCUCUCUUUCUUCUUUUACAUGAAUUUUGAGAUUUACCAAGUUAUACUACUAACCCUGCUUCUGAUGAUGUUUUCUCUUUCUAGUUUCAGCUGAUUUGUGCACAGGCUCUUGGAUUGCCAUUAGAGCAGCCAAAGAGUGUAAACAUGGAGAGGUUGCAAAAGGUGAAACUUCGUGGGGCUCUUUAAGCUCCUCUCGAAACCACCAGAGGUUUGCUUUUUAUUAUGAGAUUAUUCUGUUGUUCUUGUUAAGAGUACAAUGUUUUUGUUUCUGUUUAUGUGAUUUAUAUUGACUAUUUUUACAUGUUUGUGCGAGGUCAAAUGGAGAUCAUUUGGAAUGAUUAUUCAUGAAGCGGACUGCAGCGUUUUGGAUUCUCUUAUUUGAAAAGGUAUGGUACGACAGCUUUCAUAUGUUGUUGAUAGUUAUUGUUUGCGAUUGUGUGUUGGGAUGAAUUAGUGUUAGAUUAGGUAAUAGUCAAGUCAGGACAUUGAUGAUUGCUUUUUUGUUUGUUGGAGUUCUUAAAUACGAAUAGUACUUGAUUAGAGAGAUACUUGUCGAGUAGGUUGUUUUAAUGUAAUAAAUUUGUGGUUGUUGUAGUUAAUUUACAACCAUAAAUUUGAAAACCCAAAACCACUUGAGCUCAAUAUAAACCCUCCAUGUUAGCACUAACAUAAACCAUUAACUUUUUCUAUACAAACCCUUUUCUUUUAACAUCAGCUUUCACUAAAACAACCAAUGGAUCCUAGAAGCCUUAUUCGUAAUCCACAUACAUAUUUUGUUGAUCUUAUGAAUUCUCAAAAAGACUCUAACUCCCAAGAUAAUCCAAUUCUUCCAAAUACAUUCUCUUCUCAGCCUGUCCACUUUACCCAAACCCUCUCUUCUCAGCCUGUCAACUUUACCCAAACCCUCUCUUCUCAGCCUGUCAACUGUGGGCCUA
Non-coding RNA from Camelina sativa (false flax), 2023 nucleotides. The record is from RefSeq and is a predicted model, not a curated record. Lineage: Eukaryota; Viridiplantae; Streptophyta; Magnoliopsida; Brassicales; Brassicaceae.